Long non-coding RNA from Coregonus clupeaformis (lake whitefish), 1487 nucleotides. RefSeq lists it as uncharacterized. The transcript is spliced from 4 exons. NCBI's taxonomy places the organism in Eukaryota, Metazoa, Chordata, Actinopteri, Salmoniformes, Salmonidae. The record is from RefSeq and is a predicted model, not a curated record.
AUUUGAAUUGACGCAAUUUAACAGAGGAAAAAAUGGAGGAGGGAAGGGAUUAUUUGAGUAUUAUAUCUAUUUCAAGUCAGAAGUCCUCAUCAAUACUAAAGCCUACUCAUCAUCAUUCAUGUCAAGGUCUGAGUAGUCCACCAUGGCAUAGUCAUAUCCCUCAGCUAUCCACUACUCUGCUCUGCUUUACUUUAUUUUAUGUUUUACAGUGGGUCUUUCCUGCUGUGAAGGCCCUGAAGCACUGGAAUUCAACUCCUCAGACGUCCACUUCAAGGUGGUGUCAGACGGGGAGGUCAGAGUUCAUAGAGCUCUGGGGGACAGACCCAGACACUUCAGCGUCUACCUCCUGGGUCAAAGGGUAGGAGCGUCACUGCGGCCCAGAUACUGGUGACCUAUAGCCCUGAGGGUCGUUGUCAUGGUGAUCGUCAUCACCAUGGAAAGGUGGGCAGAUUACCUGGUCCAGUUCAGGGUGAGCCCUUCCCAGCGGUCCCUGUGCUGGAGUUCCCACAAUCCAGUGCGAGACAGAAGAGGAGGAAGAGGGAUUGGGUCAUCCCUCCAAUCAAUGUAGCCGAGAAUGGCAGGAGCCCCUUCCCCAAUCCUAUAGUGCAGGUAUGUGUCUGUUACACACAAACACACACAGGUACCUCCUCUAUGUUGAAGACUGCUGUGUGUUUCCUAUGUUGUUCAGAUCAGGUCCAGUAACGAUAAGGCAGUGAAAAUGUUUUAUAAGAUUACAGGCCAGGGGGCAGACCAGGAUCGAGAGGAUUUAGGAUCGAGAGGAACACAGGUUGUCUGUCUGUCACGGAACCCUUGGAUCGGGAGCAACAGGCCAAAUACACCAUAUAUGCCCAUGCCGAAGCAGAUGGGAUGGAUUUGUCUGAAGAGCACAUGGAGAUCAUCAUCAACGUCAUCGAAUUGAACGACAACAAACCACAUUAGGCCGCACAAAUAGGAUAUGAGUUUAUGAAGGUAUAUGCCACAGAUGCAGAUGAGCCUGGUCAGGACAGUUCUGAUAUCCGCUACAGCAUCCGCAGCCAGGAUCUAACUCUACCCAGCAACCUCUACUUUAUUAACACUGUGACUGGAGGAAUAAAGGUGGCUGCCCCGGGCCUGGACAGAGUGGUAGGAAGGUGUGUGUGUGUGUGUGUGUGUGUGUGUGUGUGUGUGUGUGUGUGUGUGUGUGUGUGUGUGUGUGUGUGUGUGUGUGUGUGUGUGUGUGUGUGUGUGUGUGUGUGUGUGUGUGCGUGUGAGACUAUCUGUCCAUCUCGAUCUAUCUCCAGACCCAGCAGCAGUACAGGCUGGUGAUUGAGGCAGCUGAUAAUGCAGGGAAUGGCCUGAUAACUACCUGCCAGGUCCUCAUCACUGUAGCAGACAGCAACGACAAUGCACCCCAGUUUACACAAACAAUGGUAUAUCGAAGUUAUCGAAGCUUAACCAUGUAUUAGAUCGUAGGUAGGUAGUUAGCUGUAGUUAGGUAUUGUAUUUAU